GGUUGUAUAGUGUAGUGGUUAGCACACCGGAUUUUGAUUCCGGUAACCUGGGUUCGAGUCCCGGUACGACCU
This 72-nucleotide transfer RNA is filed under the name Ascosphaera apis ARSEF 7405. RNAcentral's name for it is "tRNA-Gln (TTG) (tRNA-Gln-TTG-3-1)". It matches the Rfam family "tRNA". From Rfam's summary of the family: Transfer RNA (tRNA) molecules are approximately 80 nucleotides in length. Their secondary structure includes four short double-helical elements and three loops (D, anti-codon, and T loops). The record is from RNAcentral. Lineage: Eukaryota; Fungi; Ascomycota; Eurotiomycetes; Onygenales; Ascosphaeraceae.